RNAcentral lists this long non-coding RNA (225 nucleotides) under Gossypium barbadense (sea-island cotton). Its description in RNAcentral is "long non-coding RNA (GBAR_LNC017190)". The record is from RNAcentral. Lineage: Eukaryota; Viridiplantae; Streptophyta; Magnoliopsida; Malvales; Malvaceae.
UGGUUCGAGUAAGUUGUAAAUAGUUGGUUCCUUAGUAGGAGAUAGGAUGAUUAACGUUGGAAGGUUAUUUUUGACUGUGAAGACCAUGUGUAAUAGGGUUCUAUAUGUGAGAAGGGAUAUUUCUACAAGGGAAUUCUUCCCAACUCUGUUUAUAUCUUUUUCCCUUUUGCAUCAUCUUCUUUGGUUGUUUCAAAGAAGAGAAAGAUGAUGAAAGCUCUGCAUGGG